This 1415-nucleotide ribosomal RNA is filed under the name Klebsiella pneumoniae. RNAcentral's name for it is "partial 16S ribosomal RNA". It matches the Rfam family "Bacterial small subunit ribosomal RNA". RNAcentral also lists the same sequence under 1 other name. The record is from RNAcentral. Lineage: Bacteria; Pseudomonadati; Pseudomonadota; Gammaproteobacteria; Enterobacterales; Enterobacteriaceae.
UAACACAUGCAGUCGAGCGGUAGCACAGAGAGCUUGCUCUCGGGUGACGAGCGGCGGACGGGUGAGUAAUGUCUGGGAAACUGCCUGAUGGAGGGGGAUAACUACUGGAAACGGUAGCUAAUACCGCAUAAUGUCGCAAGACCAAAGUGGGGGACCUUCGGGCCUCAUGCCAUCAGAUGUGCCCAGAUGGGAUUAGCUAGUAGGUGGGGUAACGGCUCACCUAGGCGACGAUCCCUAGCUGGUCUGAGAGGAUGACCAGCCACACUGGAACUGAGACACGGUCCAGACUCCUACGGGAGGCAGCAGUGGGGAAUAUUGCACAAUGGGCGCAAGCCUGAUGCAGCCAUGCCGCGUGUGUGAAGAAGGCCUUCGGGUUGUAAAGCACUUUCAGCGGGGAGGAAGGCGGUGAGGUUAAUAACCUUGUCGAUUGACGUUACCCGCAGAAGAAGCACCGGCUAACUCCGUGCCAGCAGCCGCGGUAAUACGGAGGGUGCAAGCGUUAAUCGGAAUUACUGGGCGUAAAGCGCACGCAGGCGGUCUGUCAAGUCGGAUGUGAAAUCCCCGGGCUCAACCUGGGAACUGCAUUCGAAACUGGCAGGCUAGAGUCUUGUAGAGGGGGGUAGAAUUCCAGGUGUAGCGGUGAAAUGCGUAGAGAUCUGGAGGAAUACCGGUGGCGAAGGCGGCCCCCUGGACAAAGACUGACGCUCAGGUGCGAAAGCGUGGGGAGCAAACAGGAUUAGAUACCCUGGUAGUCCACGCCGUAAACGAUGUCGAUUUGGAGGUUGUGCCCUUGAGGCGUGGCUUCCGGAGCUAACGCGUUAAAUCGACCGCCUGGGGAGUACGGCCGCAAGGUUAAAACUCAAAUGAAUUGACGGGGGCCCGCACAAGCGGUGGAGCAUGUGGUUUAAUUCGAUGCAACGCGAAGAACCUUACCUGGUCUUGACAUCCACAGAACUUUCCAGAGAUGGAUUGGUGCCUUCGGGAACUGUGAGACAGGUGCUGCAUGGCUGUCGUCAGCUCGUGUUGUGAAAUGUUGGGUUAAGUCCCGCAACGAGCGCAACCCUUAUCCUUUGUUGCCAGCGGUUCGGCCGGGAACUCAAAGGAGACUGCCAGUGAUAAACUGGAGGAAGGUGGGGAUGACGUCAAGUCAUCAUGGCCCUUACGACCAGGGCUACACACGUGCUACAAUGGCAUAUACAAAGAGAAGCGACCUCGCGAGAGCAAGCGGACCUCAUAAAGUAUGUCGUAGUCCGGAUUGGAGUCUGCAACUCGACUCCAUGAAGUCGGAAUCGCUAGUAAUCGUAGAUCAGAAUGCUACGGUGAAUACGUUCCCGGGCCUUGUACACACCGCCCGUCACACCAUGGGAGUGGGUUGCAAAAGAAGUAGGUAGCUUAACCUUCGGGAGGGCGCUACC